RNAcentral lists this ribosomal RNA (138 nucleotides) under Ligilactobacillus salivarius. RNAcentral describes it as "Lactobacillus salivarius partial 23S ribosomal RNA". It matches the Rfam family "Bacterial large subunit ribosomal RNA", at positions 2789 to 2925 of the family's 2925-position model. Lineage: Bacteria; Bacillati; Bacillota; Bacilli; Lactobacillales; Lactobacillaceae. The record is from RNAcentral.
GAAACUCACCUCGAGAUAAGAUUUCCCAUUACGUAAGUAAGUAAGAUCCCUGAAAGAUGAUCAGGUAGAUAGGAUGGAAGUGGAAGUGCUGUGAGGCAUGGAGCGGACCAUUACUAAUCGAUCGAGGACUUAACCAAG